This is a long non-coding RNA of Drosophila ananassae, 1602 nucleotides long. RefSeq lists it as uncharacterized. The transcript has 2 exons. NCBI's taxonomy places the organism in Eukaryota, Metazoa, Arthropoda, Insecta, Diptera, Drosophilidae. The record is from RefSeq and is a predicted model, not a curated record.
ACUGUGUUUUUGUUAGUUGCCAAGUGUACGUGUUCUGGCUGGCUGGCGUGUUUCUGUGUUUGAGUAUUUGUGUGUAUGUGUGUGCGUGCGAGUGUGACGCAAAAUUAAAACGGAAGAAGAAUGAGGCGAGGCGAGGCGAGGCUAGGUGAUCGGAGACACAGACAGCAAGGCCAGCCAGAAAACCAGCUUAGCUAGCUAGCGACCGUAUAUGACGUAUUCCACAUUCUAGACUCCCCAUUGAAAUUGGAAUAUUUGAAAUAACAAAUAUUAAAAUCCGAAAGCAACACCAGAAGAGAAUUGGUUGCGGAGAGAGCCAGGCGGAGGAAGAAGCAGAGCAAUGGCAUGCAUUGAAAACGGAAUUGGAAAUUGAGAAUCGGAACGGAAAAGGAGGAAAUGGAAGAAAUGGAAGGAGUCUCUACAGAGUUAUUAACUAUCUUUUAGUCGCCAGCUAUACAACGCCUAGUUGUCGCCCUAACAGUCCCCAGAGUCUCCACUUCCUCCCUCCCCCCGCAAAUAAACAAAGGUCGGCGAUUCGCAAUCGCUCUCUCGCCCACCAUUUAUACGCAGAAUGCGGCGGGAAAAUCGAAUUCAUUGAGGAGUGGAGAGUGGAAUUAAUUAAAUAUUUUUAUUUUUGUUUUUGGCUAGCACACUCUCUAGCAUAGCAUGCACUUGAACUACGGGCGGGCAAACAUGAAAUUUAUUUAAAUAAAUAAAAUCCUCAAGUGACACACACACAUACACUAACACAGGCAUGUUGCAGCUGCUGGUCCGAUGGGUCAGAAGCGUGUGGGCCAGAGCGAGACAACAGUAGGGCCAAAUGCAAAUAUGGCGGCAUAUCGACACACACCAGCGGCAGAGCGAGCGAGAGAGGGCGCAAGAGCGAUUUGUUGUUGCCGUCGCUGUGUAUCUGCAAGUAUGCCGACACAUCCAAGAGAUACUGGUAGAGUCGAGUGGAGUGGAGAGGAGAGGAGAGGAGCAAGCUAGGUUAAUAAAUCGUGCUAAUAGUGGCACGAAUUUAAAGCCGGUUUACAUGGCAACAACAGCACUGCCAGCCAGCAUGCAUCAUGCAGCAUGUAGCAUGCAGCAGUGCGCAUCUCACCCAAAAAGCAUCAAUGAAAUCGAUUCGAGGUUCGAGAGAGCCAGCCAGCCAGCCAGCCAGCCAACAAGCCAUCUAGCCUAGCCGCUUUGCAUUGCUUUUUCCGCUUAUUUACGAUAAACAACGUCUCCUUCAAGUAAACAAACGAAUUGCGUUGCCGUUGCCGUUGCCGUUGCCUAUUUACGCGCCAAACCAGAAAGUGCAACAACUCUUGGGCUGCAAACACAAUAAAAGACGAAACAAUAACAAACCGAAUCACAGAAGUAGCCGGGCCGGCAACUACUAACCACUGACCCAAACCGAACGAGAGUAGAUGCGAAUCUCAAAGAUGCAGAGAUGCAGAUGCACAGAUACCAGAUGCAAAUCGAUCGCAGCUGACCCCAAGACUUCCAAAAAAGAAAGGGUUGCACUUCCCGAAGAUGCAGCUCAUUAGCAGCUGUCUUUUGGUCCUCUGUCGAGGGGUGGCUAUGACUAUAUACCCUGUCUAGAUUCCCUAUUCCCAAAAA